This 266-nucleotide ribosomal RNA is filed under the name uncultured eukaryote. Its description in RNAcentral is "partial small subunit ribosomal RNA". It matches the Rfam family "Eukaryotic small subunit ribosomal RNA", at positions 587 to 861 of the family's 1831-position model. The record is from RNAcentral.
AGCUCCAAUAGCGUAUAUUAAAGUUGUUGCGGUUAAAAAGCUCGUAGUUGGAUUUCUGUUGAGGACGACCGGUGUGCACUUCGUGUAUUAUCAGGUUCGGUCUCGGCAUCCUCUUGGGGAACGUUUGGACUUUAUUGGCCAGGCGGGAUUCAAGACUUUUACUUUGAGGAAAUUAGAGUGUUCACGGCAGGCAAGCGCUUUGAAUACAUUAGCAUGGAAUAAUAAUAUAGGACCUUCGUUCUAUUUUGUUGGUUUCUAGAACUUGG